AUUAAUAAGCGGAGGAAAAGAAACUAACAAGGAUUCCCUUAGUAACGGCGAGUGAAGCGGGAUUAGCCCAGCACCGAAUCCUCCGCUCUGACGGGCGGCGGGAACUGUGGUGUUAAGGACAGCCUAUGGGGAUCGUUCGGGAGUCCGAGUCCUCCUGAUCGGGGCUUCACCCAGAGCGGGUGUCAGGCCUCUACGGCGCCCGGCCGGUCCUCUCAGGUCGUCCUAGGAGUCGGGUUGUUUGAGAUUGCAGCCCAAAGCGGGUGGUAAACUCCAUCUAAGGCUAAAUACAGACACGAGUCCGAUAGCGCACAAGUACCGUGAGGGAAAGUU
RNAcentral lists this ribosomal RNA (330 nucleotides) under Enchytraeus norvegicus. RNAcentral describes it as "eukaryotic LSU rRNA". It matches the Rfam family "Eukaryotic large subunit ribosomal RNA", at positions 42 to 365 of the family's 3401-position model. The record is from RNAcentral. Lineage: Eukaryota; Metazoa; Annelida; Clitellata; Enchytraeida; Enchytraeidae.